UCUCCAUUACGAUGAACCUGCAGAGAACUU
RNAcentral lists this non-coding RNA (30 nucleotides) under Homo sapiens (human). Lineage: Eukaryota; Metazoa; Chordata; Mammalia; Primates; Hominidae. The record is from RNAcentral.